RNAcentral lists this ribosomal RNA (565 nucleotides) under uncultured bacterium. Its description in RNAcentral is "bacterial SSU rRNA". It matches the Rfam family "Bacterial small subunit ribosomal RNA", at positions 337 to 916 of the family's 1533-position model. The record is from RNAcentral.
UCCUACGGGAGGCAGCAGUGGGGAAUUUUCCGCAUUGGGCGAAAGCCUGACGGAGCAACGCCGCGUGAGGGAUGAAGGCCUCUGGGCUGUAAACCUCUUUUCUCUGGGAAGAAGAUCUGACGGUACUUGAGGAAUAAGCCACGGCUAAUUCCUUGCCGCCAGCCGCGGUAAUACUGGAGUGGCAGGCGUUAUCCGGAAUUAUUGGGGGUAAAGCGUCCGUAGGCGGCUUUUCAUCUCUGCUGAUAAAAAGUGGAGCUUAACUCCAUCAAGGCAGUGGAAACUGAUUGGCUUGAGUGUGGUAGGGGCAGAGGGAAUUCCCGGUGUAGCGGUGAAAUGCGUAGAUAUCGUGAAGAACACCAGUGGCGAAGGCGCUCUGCUGGGCCAUAACUGACGCUCAUGGACGAAAGCCAGGGGAGCGAAAGGGAUUACAUACCCCUGUAGUCCUGGCCGUAUACGAUGAACACUAAGUGUCUGGGGAAUCGACUCCCUCGGUGUCGUAGCCUACGUGUUAAGUGUUCCGCCUGGGGAGUACACACGCGACUGUGAGACUCAAAUGAAUUGACGG